This 202-nucleotide long non-coding RNA is filed under the name Setaria viridis. RNAcentral's name for it is "long non-coding RNA (SVIR_LNC003576)". The record is from RNAcentral. Lineage: Eukaryota; Viridiplantae; Streptophyta; Magnoliopsida; Poales; Poaceae.
GGGGCUGGACGCUGCAAAACCACUCGACGUGGCUCCAAUGACUUACCUGUCGCACAAGCUCGGGGGCUGGACACCGCAAAACUACUCGAAUGAUGACCUGAGUGAAGAUUCAAGACCCUCGGGUUGAUUAUUCAAUCAAUCCAAGGCUCAGGGGCUGAUAAGCUACACCCAACAAUCGAUUUUUUCAAGUCGAAAGAGAAAG